RNAcentral lists this long non-coding RNA (754 nucleotides) under Gossypium barbadense (sea-island cotton). RNAcentral's name for it is "long non-coding RNA (GBAR_LNC015800)". Lineage: Eukaryota; Viridiplantae; Streptophyta; Magnoliopsida; Malvales; Malvaceae. The record is from RNAcentral.
AAAAAUCAGACAACAUUAAUUCACAGCUAUUUUGACAGCAGUAACAACAUUCAGACAACAUUGAUUUGCAACUUUUCAUACAUCAUUAAUUCACAAGUAUUUGGACCGCAGUAACAACACUCGGACAACAUUAAUUUGUACAAAAAUGGACAGCACCUAAGCACCAGUUUAGACAACUGAAUCAUCAAUAUUGACCUAAUAAAAAAUUGAACAUGAAAUAAACAGAAACUAUUUCAAAGAAAACACACAAAAAUUUUCCCAAGCUGCUUCCUACCUCCUCAAGCCUGUUCCUUGUCUUUCCCACAAUGCUCUUCACCUACCUCUUUAGCUAAACAUAACCAGCCCCAAGUUAAAAAAAAAAAAAUGGAAACAGUCACCAAAAUAAAUAAAUUCUCUUGCCGAAAUCAAAAGAUUUUUUCCAGAUACUAAAACAUGCAUAAAACAAUUGAGAAGAUAAUUUCCUCUUCUCACCAAAACUUUCGGUCCAGCUACUCAAAAUUCUGUCAAGAGUAGGCUUAUGGGGUUUACCUUGAAUUCUUGAAAAAUAAGCAACUCCUAAGCAGCCACAACCAUGGCUUCACCUACAUGCAAUCGGCCAACAUUUUUCUUUUCCACUUGAAGAGAACAAGAGAACUCACCAAGAAAGAGAAAUGAGAUUCUCCCUAACUCACGGUAAAUGGAAUGGAAAUAAAAUAAAAUUUUUAAUCCCCACUAACUCUCACUCUUGGUCGGCCACCAAUCCCUCAACAUGCAU